AGUGAACGCUGGCGGCAGGCCUAACACAUGCAAGUCGAGCGGACGCACAGGAAGCUUUCGCCUCUGCGGGUGGCGGCUGACGGACGGGUGACAAGUAGAUAGCAUACCUCUAAGACGUGGGUGAUAUCGGAGGACAGGAGCUGAUACCGCAGCAUAUUUUGUACCGGAUAAUUCAAAAGUGAAAGACGCUCUUGCUGUCACUAAUAGAUGAAUCCGGGCUGGAUUAGCUAGUUGGUAAGGUCACGGCUUACCAAGGCUACGAUGCGUAGCCGACCUGAGAGGAUGAUCAGCCACACUGGAACUGAGACACGGUCCAGACUCCUACGGGAGGCAGCAGUAGGGAAUCUUGCGCAAUGGGCGAAAGCCUGAUGGAGCAACGCCGCGUGAGUGAUGAAGGCCUUCGGGUCGUAAAACUCUGUUAUUGGGGAAGAACAUAAGUGUAUGUAACCGUGGACGUUUUGACGGUACCCAAACAAAAAGCCCCGGCUAACUUCGUG
RNAcentral lists this ribosomal RNA (497 nucleotides) under uncultured bacterium. RNAcentral describes it as "partial 16S ribosomal RNA". It matches the Rfam family "Bacterial small subunit ribosomal RNA", at positions 29 to 507 of the family's 1533-position model. The record is from RNAcentral.